GCAGUGGUGGUUCAGUGGUAAAAUUCAUGCCUUCCACGCAGGAGACCUGGGUUUGAAUCCUGCCUUGGCA
RNAcentral lists this transfer RNA (70 nucleotides) under Loxodonta africana (African savanna elephant). It matches the Rfam family "tRNA". From Rfam's summary of the family: Transfer RNA (tRNA) molecules are approximately 80 nucleotides in length. Their secondary structure includes four short double-helical elements and three loops (D, anti-codon, and T loops). Lineage: Eukaryota; Metazoa; Chordata; Mammalia; Proboscidea; Elephantidae. The record is from Rfam by way of RNAcentral.